ACGAGUUAACUAUGCAAGUGCAAAAUCCAUAUUCUGAUACGAUUUCAAAGUUCAGCCCGGUUUCGACAUGACAAAAACAACAGAAAAAAUAAAACAAUACAAUACAGUCCCAAAUUAUUUACAAUAUUACAGCAGUGUUACAGAAUCUAAAGUCCAGCAGAGUGACAUAAAAAUAUUAAACGAACACAAAUGAUAAACAAUAAUACGCAUCAAGUUGCAAAAAAAAAUCGGAGCCGAAUCGUUUGCUGAAAGCUGAAUAUUGUGAUGCUGCCUUACUGUUGUAUUUGCAUGUUGUUGUUGUCUUCCAUGGUGGCUUUGAGGAAACAAACAAAAAUGACUGGGAGUUUGUUGUAUGGUGAUAAAUGCUUGCGAUUUCAGUAUUGUUGUUGUUGGAUGGUUGCAUCCAAAAAGAUUAAUUAAUAAUUUGUACAAUUUAGCUAAUCAAUAUUUAUAGAUCCAGAGUUAUAAUUAUUAGUCAAAACCAAAAUAUCUAAGUUUAAUUUCAUUCUGAA
Molecule: long non-coding RNA, 512 nt
Filed under: Lathyrus oleraceus (garden pea)
Lineage: Eukaryota; Viridiplantae; Streptophyta; Magnoliopsida; Fabales; Fabaceae
Description: Pisum sativum (pea) long non-coding RNA (PSAT_LNC008080)
Source: RNAcentral